UUUUCAUUCUCCUCUUCCCUCCUAUUUUCUCCUCCUUUUUGUUCCUUUGUUCUUUUUGGCUCUUUGGCUCGCUCCUUCUCCCCUCGUGAGUGAAAAGAUAACAUUGAUUUGUUUCAGUCCCGUUUAUUAUUUUCCUGGACGAGCCGCUAAGACAAGGCCCAAUAAGAUAUGGAGCUACGUCCUAUUGACUUAUUAACUUCUCCCUGGGUGUACACACAUCUCUGAGCAUCUCUUUGUGUGUGUGUGUUAGUGUGUUUGGAUUGUGUUCCUGACCCAUGGACAAACAAAACGUUCUACGAGAAGGGGACGGAUUUCACUAAAAAGGAUCUGGAGCAGAUGUUUCGUUGGCCUCAGUCUCACUUCCUUUCACCGGCUCUCGACUUCUUCUUUCCCUUCCUCUUUUUCUUUGAUGGAUGCUGAGUGGUUCGUGCUGUUUUUGUGGAAGCCCGUUGGUCUGGCCAAUUGCACGGACGCGGGAAUGUAAUCUAGGCUGUUGACACUGUGGGGACGGAUCAGGAGACAGCUUGUGCUGUUGGCUGGGGCUUUACCUUUGUUUGUCUCUGCCUGCCAUAUGUGCUGUUUCUCUCUCUCUCUGUUCACUUCUCUAUUAGAUAUCAACAGACAAUCAUAAAAACAACCAUCAGGGAGAGUAGCAUUUAGGCCCGUAAGGUUCAUCAGUGCCACCUCUGUGGUCACAUCUACAGAAGUUUCAGGUUCUGGGGAUUUUUCUUUUUUUUUUGACAUGUGUCAUCUCCUUUUAAGGCAGUGAAAGUACAGACUGGUGGAUUAGUCCUGGAUGGAAAAGGAAAAUCCUGGUCAUCAUCUUCCUCCUCCUGCUUUUCCAGAAAGAUCAUUCGCCAUGUGUCUACAAGAUUGUGCGUUGAGAGAGUCGGUGUCUCUGUUCUUCAUCAGUGGACUCCUGACAGACGUGCUCUCCAGCCCCAAUAAUCAACCCAAAAAAUGAGGGGAGAUAUGUUUUCUCUCUGCUGCUCAGUGGGAACAGAAAAGCGCAGUGGGAAGGGAAGAGGGGGAGAGUCGGCUGAAGAUUGAAAUACUCUGAGACAUGCUCGGCCCCCAUCUACACGGGCCUUCCCGGGCCAAGUUAGCCGUUAAAUCCCCCCUUUCUUCUUACUGAUGACCCGUGAGUGAUGUGGUGGAGGGGUCACAGGGUCAGUGGAGAGUGUGGGGAGGAAGGGGAGCGGAGGGAUGAAGAUGAUAAUGAAGGUAGUGGGGGGGGGGUCUCUCCCAGGCGAGGAGGCGCACUUGUCUUUCCACUCAUGUAAUCCCUCCAAUUUGGAUUAUUAAAUCUAAAUCUGUGUUCCGGAUUCAUCAGAGCCCACAUUGCUCACAAAUUACUCCCAGGUGUGUCGAGGACAUUGCUGCGCAUGGAGAUGAGAACACGAACCAGCAGCACUGCCGCUUAUGGAUGCAAUCACACAUUAUCUGAAGUCUGAAGUAGUUAGUUAUGAAUAAUGAGUAUACAAGGUUGCUGUCGGGUAAAACUGGCAUCAGUCCAAGUUAUUUUUUUUAUUCCCUGAUGGAUUGAGAAACUUCUGUGUUGGGUUGAGUUUGUAAAACUAACAGAACAACGAAACCAACAGUUUAAUAAACUCAUACAUUUGUCAUCCAGUUGUCAGGCAGCUGUCAGGCUAAUGCCAAGUCUGUUUUUUUGAGCACCUGAAAGGGUGAUAGUAUGAGAGGGCAUACUGAUACUGCUGAUGUUACUACUGUGGUAGUUCUCACUGGGCACCACAUGUUCUAAUGUGGUGUGGUGUUUUGGUGAAAAGGUGCCUGAGAAAUGAGAAAAGGAUAAAACUAAAGUAAUGAGUGGGAGUAGUAGUGGUUUCAGUACCCUCUCUAAAUGCUGUGGGACUGAAUAUUAUAUAUAUAUAUAUAUAUAUAUAUAUAUAUAGAGAGAGAGAUCAAGGAGUACAGCAGAGAGAAAGAAAAAACAAACAUAGCCAGACAUAACAAAAGGACAAAUACAAAGCCUACAACAAACAUAAUUGGACAAAAAUAUUAGAUCACUGGCUUUUGAUAAAACUGAAUUUGAAACUAUUACUAAACUUUAAACCCGCACUAACGGAUGUUUUGGCCACUCUGGGGCAGCGCAACAAGCUAUAAACACAACAUUGACAUUUUAUUAGCUUUAAAAGUUGUUAUGGCUAACGUGUUAGCAAACAGUUGUCUAUUUACACAUCCAGA
Molecule: long non-coding RNA, 2205 nt
Organism: Siniperca chuatsi (mandarin fish)
Lineage: Eukaryota; Metazoa; Chordata; Actinopteri; Centrarchiformes; Sinipercidae
Exons: 3
Source: RefSeq, a predicted model, not a curated record